Phalacrocorax carbo (great cormorant) is the source of this 790-nucleotide non-coding RNA. Lineage: Eukaryota; Metazoa; Chordata; Aves; Suliformes; Phalacrocoracidae. The record is from RefSeq and is a predicted model, not a curated record.
UUAACCUUGUCACGGGCGGCAGCGGCGAACCUGAGGUGGCCGCUGUAGCAACGGCACUUUCCUCCCUCAGGUGGUAAAAGGGCUUCGUGCCGUUCAGCCUUCCUCAGCCGGGCUGCGGCGAGGCGAGACGCGCCGGUUCCCGGCCCGACCGCCCCUUGCCUUCCCUUCCUCCUGCCCGGUGAGCCGAGCCGCCGGCGGCGGGGAGGCCGGCGCCGCCUUGGUGCCCGGGUGCCGUCGGCGCCGGUCGGGGCCGGCGAGGGGCGAAGCCAGUUACCGCUGGGCGCUUCCCCGCGCUUCAGAGCACAUCGGAGGAGACGGAGAGGUCGCCAUGUCCGGCCGUGCAGGCAUGAACUUACAGAAAUCAUCAUCAUCAAAAAGCAAUGAGAUUCCUAGAUGGGAAAGUGAAGGAGAGGAAGCCUGAAAGACAUUUGCUUUCCUGUCCAGAGUGUUAUAGAAAGGCAGGGGAAAAGUUGCAACUUGCACUCACUAUCAGGUUCCAGUCCUCGUACUUGAUAUGCGACUACUUGAUAUGUACAUAAGGCUAGACACUGCUGCGUUGGAGCCACAUCUGUAUUUACAAUUUUAAUCCAGGCCUCAUAAAUGAUCUGCAGUGAUUCGUCUUCUACCUGAUACGAGCACAAUGUGAGCUUCCCCUUCCUUUACUUGACCUGCAGCUAUACCUUCCUUGAUCUGAGACAGUGUGAAGUAUCAGAUCAGAUAAAACAUGAGAAGAGACUGUGUUGAAUAUGGGACUGACUGCACGUGUAAGCACUUCCAGUGUGGAUCUUCU